Non-coding RNA from Haemonchus contortus (barber pole worm), 75 nucleotides. Lineage: Eukaryota; Metazoa; Nematoda; Chromadorea; Rhabditida; Trichostrongylidae. The record is from Rfam.
GGCACAAACGUGAAGUAGAAUAGUUGGGUAUGGUUAGCUGAUCCUACCAAUCUACUCUACUUCAAGUUUGUGCUC